UCUGCCCAUUGGUUUGGAAUAACACGAGGAAACUUGUGCUAAUACCAGAUAAGCCUUUACGGGGAAAGCUUUAUGCGCCGAUGGAUGAGCCCGCACUUGAUUAGCUAGUUGGUAAGGUAAAAGCUUACCAAGGCUACGAUCAAUAGCUGAUCUGAGAGGAUGAUCAGCCACAUUGGGACUGAGACACGGCCCAAACUCCUACGGGAGGCAGCAGUAGGGAAUCUUGCACAAUGGGGGAAACCCUGAUGCAGCGAUGCCGCGUGAGUGAAGAAGGCCUUUGGGUUGUAAAGCUCUUUCGUCGGGGAAGAAAAUGACUGUACCCGAAUAAGAAGGUCCGGCUAACUUCGUGCCAGCAGCCGCGGUAAUACGAAGGGACCUAGCGUAGUUCGGAAUUACUGGGCUUAAAGAGCUCGUAGGUGGUUAGAAAAGUUGGUGGUGAAAUCCCAAGGCUUAACCUUGGAGCUGCCACCAAAACUUUUUAACUAGAGUAUGAUAGAGGUAAGCGGAAUUUCUAGUGUAGAGGUGAAAUUCGUAGAUAUUAGAAAGAACACCAAUUGCGAAGGCAGUUUACUGGAUCAUUACUGACACUGAGGAGCGAAAGCAUGGGUAGCGAAGAGGAUUAGAUACCCUCGUAGUCCAUGCCGUAAACGAUGUGUGCUAGACGUUGGAAAUUUAUUUUUCAGUGUCGCAGCAAAAGCGUUAAGCACACC
Molecule: ribosomal RNA, 710 nt
Filed under: uncultured Pelagibacterales bacterium
Lineage: Bacteria; Pseudomonadati; Pseudomonadota; Alphaproteobacteria; Candidatus Pelagibacterales
Description: bacterial SSU rRNA
Rfam family: Bacterial small subunit ribosomal RNA
Source: RNAcentral